UACGUAGGGUGCAAGCGUUGUCCGGAAUUAUUGGGCGUAAAGAGCUCGUAGGCGGUCUGUCGCGUCGGCUGUGAAAUCCCGAGGCUCAACCUCGGGUCUGCAGUCGAUACGGGCAAACUUGAGUGUUGCAGGGGAGACUGGAAUUCCUGGUGUAGCGGUGAAAUGCGCAGAUGUCAGGAGGAACACCGGUGGCGAAGGCGGGUCUCUGGGCAACAACUGACGCUGAGGAGCGAAAGCGUGGGGAGCGAACAGG
Molecule: ribosomal RNA, 253 nt
Filed under: uncultured bacterium
Lineage: Bacteria
Description: partial 16S ribosomal RNA
Rfam family: Bacterial small subunit ribosomal RNA
Source: RNAcentral